This 1070-nucleotide long non-coding RNA is filed under the name Homo sapiens (human). RNAcentral's name for it is "HSALNT0380983". Lineage: Eukaryota; Metazoa; Chordata; Mammalia; Primates; Hominidae. The record is from RNAcentral.
UCCUUUUAGUGCCCAUCUCCUUAGCCUGUCCCUUUCUUUCAGGUGACUCUGCCUCCCCCCAUUUGCUGAGGCCUCCUCCCUCCUUCUCCAAGACAGGCCCUGCUCCUCUUCCCCACCUGCCGUCUUAGUCCCACAUCUGGGCUCUGUUGGCUGGUUAACCAUCGAUCUUGCCUGGUAAAUAAUUCAGGGCCUCUGUUUCCUCAUCUGUGAAAUGAAAAGCCUAAGAGAACGCUAAGAUUCUUUUGGCCUAGAAUCCUGUGAGUCUCUCUUAUGACAGACAGUGACAUUUUCCACCCCAGUAGGGACCUGGAUUGCUACUGCCAUGGCCAGCUGGGUGCUCUCCAAGUCAGGGGUGCUGUGCGAGGAGGGCGUGGCUUCUGCUCCUCUGUGUCCCAGCCACUCCUCCUGUACUCAGGCCCCAGCUCCUCUGUUCUGCCCAGUGGCCUGGCGCAGGAAAGGUCCAGGCCGCGGCUGUGACUCCCGCGGGUGAACCACAGCUCCACAGCCCCAAAUCCAAAGAUGCUCUUGCUGCAGCACGACAAGUGUUCAAAAGAGAACCAGGCCCAGCCCGGAGAAAGGAAAGCCAAAAGCCAACUGAAUGAAUGACCCUCCCCCAGAAGAGCAACCCUGCCCCCAGGCCAUCCAAGUGCGAACAUUACCAGGUGCCAGCAGGGAAAGGACUCCGCUGCCUGACGCCUCUCCCACCUGAGAGCGCAGAGGUAGGGAGAUCACAGUGCCUGAGAGGUUUUCCUCCACGGAGAAAUCAGAGACCUCAACCUGCUGCCCUCUAAAGCAGCUUUCUGUAUCCAGACAAAACUUACAUAUGUACACGUUGUUUUAAAACGACAUACUCAUGUGACACACAUGUAUAUAAAUUCAUGUUUAUAUAUGACAAUUGAGGAGAGUUAAAGAACAAGAUAAUUCUGGAUGGAAAAAUCAGUUUGCCUGGGCAUCUGUAAACCUUUGGGCAAGUGAAUUCCCUCUUCUCUCUCAGUUCACCCUUUGGUGACCUCCACCGUGGCUGCAGACUUCAGGUGGUCCUCACGCAUUCACAGAACUGUCUGCUUAGG